GCCAGGCAUAGUGGUGUGAGCCUGAAAUCCCAGAUCCUAGGGAGGCUGAGGUAGGAGGAUCACUUGAGCCCAGGGGGGUCUAGGCUGCAGUGAGCCAUGAUCAUGCCACUGCACUCUAGCCUGGGCAAUAGGGCGAGACCCUGUCUCAA
This is an unclassified non-coding RNA of Papio anubis (olive baboon), 149 nucleotides long. It matches the Rfam family "Metazoan signal recognition particle RNA". From Rfam's summary of the family: The signal recognition particle (SRP) is a universally conserved ribonucleoprotein. It is involved in the co-translational targeting of proteins to membranes. Lineage: Eukaryota; Metazoa; Chordata; Mammalia; Primates; Cercopithecidae. The record is from Ensembl.